RNAcentral lists this ribosomal RNA (406 nucleotides) under uncultured bacterium. RNAcentral's name for it is "partial 16S ribosomal RNA". It matches the Rfam family "Bacterial small subunit ribosomal RNA", at positions 30 to 526 of the family's 1533-position model. The record is from RNAcentral.
AUUGAACGCUGGCGGCAGGCCUAACACAUGCAAGUCGAGCGAGCGGCGGACGGGUGAGUAAUGUCUGGGAAACUGCCUGAUGGAGGGGGAUAACUACUGGAAACGGUAGCUAAUACCGCAUACCAUCAGAUGUGCCCAGAUGGGAUUAGCUAGUGGGUGGGGUAACGGCUCACCUAGGCGACGAUCCCUAGCUGGUCUGAGAGGUUGACCAGCCACACUGGAACUGAGAACCGGUCCAGACUCCGACGGGAGGCAGCAUUGGGGAAUAUUGCACAAUGGGCGCAAGCCUGAUGCAGCCAUGCCGCUUGGAGGAAGAAGGCCUUCGGGUUGUAAAGUACUUUCAGCGGGGAGGCGUUACCCGCAGAAGAAGCACCGGCUAACUCCGUGCCAGCAGCCGCGGUAAUAC